GACGAACGCUGGCGGCGUGCUUAACACAUGCAAGUCGAACGGAAAGGCCCUUCGGGGUACUCGAGUGGCGAACGGGUGAGUAACACGUGGGUGAUCUGCCCUGCACUUUGGGAUAAGCCUGGGAAACUGGGUCUAAUACCGAAUAGGACCACGCGCUUCAUGGUGUGUGGUGGAAAGCUUUUGCGGUGUGGGAUGGGCCCGCGGCCUAUCAGCUUGUUGGUGGGGUAAUGGCCUACCAAGGCGACGACGGGUAGCCGGCCUGAGAGGGUGACCGGCCACACCGGGGCUGGGGUUCGGGCCAGAAUCCUACGGGGGGCAGCAGGUGGGAAAUAUGCACAAAGGGCGCAAGGCUUGUGCAACGACCCCGCGUGGGGGAUGACGGCCUUCGGGUUGUAAACCUCUUUCAAUAGGGACGAAGCGCAAGUGACGGUACCUAUAGAAGAAGCACCGGCCAACUACGUG
RNAcentral lists this ribosomal RNA (462 nucleotides) under uncultured bacterium. RNAcentral's name for it is "partial 16S ribosomal RNA". It matches the Rfam family "Bacterial small subunit ribosomal RNA", at positions 28 to 507 of the family's 1533-position model. The record is from RNAcentral.